Molecule: ribosomal RNA, 496 nt
Filed under: bacterium 3A7
Lineage: Bacteria
Description: bacterial SSU rRNA
Rfam family: Bacterial small subunit ribosomal RNA
Source: RNAcentral
GGACCCGCACAAGCGGUGGAUGAUGUGGUUUAAUUCGAUGCAACGCGAAAAACCUUACCCACCUUUGACAUGUACGGAAUCCUUUAGAGAUAGAGGAGUGCUCGAAAGAGAACCGUAACACAGGUGCUGCAUGGCUGUCGUCAGCUCGUGUCGUGAGAUGUUGGGUUAAGUCCCGCAACGAGCGCAACCCUUGUCAUUAGUUGCUACAUUUAGUUGGGCACUCUAAUGAGACUGCCGGUGACAAACCGGAGGAAGGUGGGGAUGACGUCAAGUCCUCAUGGCCCUUAUAGGUGGGGCUACACACGUCAUACAAUGGCUGGUACAGAGGGUUGCCAACCCGCGAGGGGGAGCCAAUCCCAUAAAGCCAGUCGUAGUCCGGAUCGCAGUCUGCAACUCGACUGCGUGAAGUCGGAAUCGCUAGUAAUCGCGGAUCAGAAUGUCGCGGUGAAUACGUUCCCGGGUCUUGUACACACCGCCCGUCACACCAUGGGAGCGG